GACGAACGCUGGCGGCGUGCCUAAUACAUGCAAGUAGAACGCACAGUUUAUACCGUAGCUUGCUACACCAUAGACUGUGAGUUGCGAACGGGUGAGUAACGCGUAGGUAACCUGCCUGGUAGCGGGGGAUAACUAUUGGAAACGAUAGCUAAUACCGCAUAAUAUUGAUUAUUGCAUGAUAAUUGAUUGAAAGAUGCUAUUGCAUCACUACCAGAUGGACCUGCGUUGUAUUAGCUAGUAGGUGAGGUAACGGCUCACCUAGGCGACGAUACAUAGCCGACCUGAGAGGGUGAUCGGCCCAACUGGGACUGGGACACGGCCCAGACUCCUACGGGAGGGAGCAGUAGGGAAUCUUCGGCAAUGGACGAAAGUCUGACCGGGCAACGCCGCGUGAGUGAAGAAGGUUUUCGGAUCGUAAAGCUCUGUUGUAAGAGAAGAACGGGUGUGAGAGUGGAAAGUUCACACUGUGACGGUAUCUUACCAGAAAGGGACGGCUAACUACGUG
This 505-nucleotide ribosomal RNA is filed under the name uncultured bacterium. RNAcentral's name for it is "partial 16S ribosomal RNA". It matches the Rfam family "Bacterial small subunit ribosomal RNA", at positions 28 to 507 of the family's 1533-position model. The record is from RNAcentral.